CUAGUGCAAGUGAAAUAUUUUGUAGUAUUAAAGUGAAACUAAUAACAGUCAUUAUGGAUCAACACUGCUGCACUGAGGGACAAAUAUUCCAUUUGCUCUGAGGAUUGAGGAGUCUAAUUUUAUAGUUGGGAAAAUAAAGUUGCAACGGCUUUUUCCUGGAGUUUAUCAAGGUUGACAAGUGAAGUUUUAUGAAUAUGAUUUCUAUAUCAUCUCUUAAGGUUGCUGCAGUAAAUAUCCAUAAGCUGCUACUAAUCAAAGCAUUAAUAAAAUCAUCAUAAUGUUAAGGACAUUGCUACAUAUCUCUUUCCCUGGUGAUGCACUCCUGGACUGAAAUACUUGGAUUAUCUGCCGUAAAGAGCAUCGUUUGAUUCAAAUCAAGAUACAGAGUCAUGAUCGAGUGACUCUACCUGAGGUCAAACGGCCUAUGGCUUUAAAUCCCAGAUCACCCUUUGUUCUUUUAUUGGAUGAGGAUGACUUCAGAAGAUGGGCAAUAGAGGAACAAACUUAAAAUUUUCGCCCAAGUUACUCAUCAUGGAUGUAAAACCUGUUCCUGGGUGUAAAUUCCCAGGCCACAGGAAUACAUGUUACAUAUGCUG
Molecule: long non-coding RNA, 596 nt
Filed under: Homo sapiens (human)
Lineage: Eukaryota; Metazoa; Chordata; Mammalia; Primates; Hominidae
Description: HSALNT0287086
Source: RNAcentral